Molecule: ribosomal RNA, 461 nt
Filed under: uncultured bacterium
Lineage: Bacteria
Description: bacterial SSU rRNA
Rfam family: Bacterial small subunit ribosomal RNA
Source: RNAcentral
GAACGCUGGCGGCAUGCUUUACACAUGCAAGUUGAACGAAUUCAAGUUUUCGAAUUUUAGUUAAGUAGCGAACGGGUGAGUAAAACGUAAGAAUCUAUUUUUAGGUGAGGAAUAACUAAUGGAAACGUUAGCUAAUACCUUAUAAACUGAGAAGUGAAAAACCAAAGAUUGCCUAAAAGUGAGCUUGCGCCUGAUUAGCUUGUUGGUAAGAUAAUCGCUUACCAAAGCGACGAUCAGUAGUUGAUCUAAGAGGAUAAUCAACCACACUGGGACUGAGAUACGGCCCAGACCUCUGCGGAGGGCAGCAGUGAGGAAUUUUCCGCAAUGGGCGAAAGCCUGACGGAGCAAUGCCGCGUGAAGGAUGAAGGCCUAUGGGUCGUAAACUUCUUUUCUUAAUGAAGAAAUAAGACGGUAAUUAAGGAAUAAGCAUCGGCUAACUCCGUGCCAGCAGCCGCGGUAAU